CCUCGAAGUACUCUGAGGCUUGUAGGAGGGUAAAAUAGAGACCCAGUAAAAUUGUAAUAAGCAGUGCUUGAAUUAUUUGGUUUCGGUUGUUUUCUAUUAGACUAUGGUGAGCUCAGGUGAUUGAUACCCCUGAUGCGAGUAAUACGGAUGUGUUUAGGAGUGGGACUUCUAGGGGAUUUAGCGGGGUGAUGCCUGUUGGGGGCCAGUGUCCCCCUAGUUGGGGGGUGGGAGCUAGGCUGGAGUGGUAAAAGGCUCAGAAAAAUCCUGCGAAGAAAAAAACUUCUGAGGUAAUAAAUAGGAUUAUCCCGUAUCGAAGGCCUUUCUGGACAGGUGGUGUGUGGUGGCCUUGGUAUGUGCUUUCUCGUGUUACAUCGCGCCAUCAUUGGUAUAUGGUUAGUGUGUUGGUUAGUAGGCCUAGUAUGAGGAGGGUUGUGGAGUGGAAGUGAAAUCACAUGGCUAGGCCGGAGGUCAUUAGGAGGGCUGAGAGGGCCCCUGUUAGGGGCCAUGGGCUGGGUUUUACUAUAUGAUAGGCAUGUGAUUGGUGGGUCAUUAUGUGUUGUCGUGCAGGUAGAGGCUUACUAGAAGUGUAAAAACGUAGGCUUGGAUUAAGGCGACAGCGAUUUCUAGGAUAGUCAGUAGAAUUAGAAUUGUGAAGAUGAUAAGUGUAGAGGGAAGGUUAAUAGUUGAUAUUGCUAGUGUGGCGCUUCCAAUUAGGUGCAUGAGUAGGUGGCCUGCAGUAAUGUUAGCGGUUAGGCGUACGGCCAGGGCUAUUGGUUGAAUGAGUAGGCUGAUGGUUUCGAUAAUAACUAGUAUAGGGAUAAGGGGUGUAGGUGUGCCUUGUGGUAAGAAGUGGGCUAGGGCAUUUUUAAUCUUAGAGCGAAAGCCUAUAAUCACUGCGCCCGCUCAUAAGGGGAUGGCCAUGGCUAGGUUUAUAGAUAGUUGGGUGGUUGGUGUAAAUGAGUGAGGCAGGAGUCCGAGGAGGUUAGUUGUGGCAAUAAAAAUGAUUAAGGAUACUAGUAUAAGAGAUCAGGUUCGUCCCUUAGUGUUGUGUAUGGCUAUCAUUUGUUUUGAGGUUAGUUGGAUUAGUCAUUGUUGGGUGGUAAUUAGUCGGUUGUUGAUGAGAUAUUUGGAGGUGGGGAUCAAUAGAGGGGGAAAUAGAAUGAUCAGUACUGCGGCGGGUAGGCCUAGGAUUGUGGGGGCAAUGAAUGAAGUGAACAGAUUUUCGUUCAUUUUGGUUCUCAGGGUUUGUUAUAGUUUUUUAUUUUUAUGGGCUUUGGUGAGGGAGGUAGGUGGUAAUUUGUAUUUAAUAUUUUUAGUUGGGUGAUGAGGAAUAGUGUAAGGAGUAUGGGGGUAAUUAUGGUGGUCCGAGUAACGUCGGGGCAUUCCGGAUAGGCCGAGAAAGUGUUGUGGGAAGAAAGUUAGAUUUACGCCGAUGAAUAUGAUAGCGAAAUGGAUUUUGGCGUAGGUUUGGUCUAGGGUGUAGCCUGAGAAUAGGGGAAAUCAGUGAAUGAAGCCUCCUAUGAUGGCAAAUACAGCUCCUAUUGAUAGGACAUAGUGGAAGUGGGCUACAACGUAGUACGUGUCGUGUAGUACGAUGUCUAGUGAUGAGUUUGCUAAUACAAUGCCAGUCAGGCCACCUACGGUGAAAAGAAAAAUAAAUCCUAGGGCUCAGAGCACUGCAGCAGAUCAUUUCAUAUUGCUUCCGUGGAGUGUGGCGAGUCAGCUAAAUACUUUGACGCCGGUGGGGAUAGCGAUGAUUAUGGUAGCGGAGGUGAAAUAUGCUCGUGUGUCUACGUCUAUUCCUACUGUAAAUAUAUGGUGUGCUCACACGAUAAACCCUAGGAAGCCAAUUGAUAUCAUAGCUCAGACCAUACCUAUGUAUCCAAAUGGUUCUUUUUUUCCCGGAGUAGUAAGUUACAAUAUGGGAGAUUAUUCCGAAGCCUGGUAGGAUGAGAAUAUAAACUUCAGGGUGACCGAAAAAUCAGAAUAGGUGUUGGUAUAGAAUGGGGUCUCCUCCUCCGGCUGGGUCGAAGAAGGUGGUGUUGAGGUUACGGUCUGUUAGUAGUAUAGUGAUGCCAGCGGCUAGGACUGGGAGAGAUAGGAGAAGUAAGACUGCUGUGAUUAGGACGGAUCAGACGAAAAGGGGCGUUUGGUAUUGGGUUAUGGCAGGGGGUUUUAUAUUAAUAAUUGUUGUGAUGAAAUUGAUGGCUCCUAAGAUAGAGGAGAUACCUGCUAGGUGUAAGGAGAAGAUGGUUAGGUCUACGGAGGCUCCAGGGUGGGAGUAGUUCCCUGCCAAGGGAGGGUAGACUGUUCAACCUGUUCCUGCGCCGGCCUCCACUAUAGCAGAUGCAAGCAGGAGUAGGAGAGAGGGGGGUAAGAGUCAGAAGCUUAUGUUGUUUAUGCGGGGAAACGCCAUAUCGGGGGCACCGAUUAUUAGGGGAACUAGUCAGUUGCCAAAGCCUCCGAUUAUGAUGGGUAUUACUAUGAAGAAGAUUAUUACAAAUGCAUGGGCUGUGACGAUAACGUUGUAGAUGUGGUCGUUACCUAGAAGGUUGCCUGGCUGGCCCAGUUCGGCUCGAAUAAGGAGGCUUAGAGCUGUGCCUAGGACUCCAGCUCAUGCGCCGAAUAAUAGGUAUAGUGUUCCAAUGUCUUUGUGGUUUGUAGAGAAUAGUCAACGGUCGGCGAACAUCAGUGGGGGUGAGGUAAAAUGGCUGAGUGAAGCAUUGGACUGUAAAUCUAAAGACAGGGGUUAAGCCUCUUUUUACCAGCUCUGAGGUGAUUUUCAUAUUGAAUUGCAAAUUCGAAGAAGCAGCUUCAAACCUGCCGGGGCUUCUCCCGCCUUUUUUCCCGGCGGCGGGAGAAGUAGAUUGAAGCCAGUUGAUUAGGGUGCUUAGCUGUUAACUAAGUGUUUGUGGGUUUAAGUCCCAUUGGUCUAGUAAGGGCUUAGCUUAAUUAAAGUGGCUGAUUUGCGUUCAGUUGAUGCAGAGUGGGGUUUUGCAGUCCUUAGCUGUUGCAGAAAUUAAGUAUUGCAACUUACUGAGGGCUUUGAAGGCUCUUGGUCUGUAUUUAACCUAAAUUUCUAUAAGAUUAUUAGCAUAAAAGGGGAGAUAGGUAGGAGCAGUGUGGUAAGGGCGAUGAGUGUGGGGAGGAAUGGGGUGGGUUUUGUGUGUUCAAACUGUCAUUUUAUUUUUACGUUGUUAGAUAUAGGGAGUAGUGUGAUUGAGGUGGAGUAGAUUAGGCGCAGGUAGAAGUAGAGGUUAAGGAGGGUGAUGAUGGCUAUGAUGGUGGGGAUGAUGAGGCUAUUGUUUUUUGUGAAUUCUUCGAUAAUGGCCCAUUUGGGCAAAAAGCCGGUUAGCGGGGGCAGGCCUCCUAGGGAGAGGAGGGUGGAUGGAAUUAAGGGUGUUAGUCAUGUUAGCUUGUUUCAGGUGCGAGAUAGUAGUAGGGUUGUGGUGCUGGAGUUUAAGUUGAGUAGUAGGAAUGCGGUAGUAGUUAGGAUAAUAUAAAUAGUUAAAUUAAGAAUGGUUAUGUUAGGGUUGUACGGUAGAACUGCUGUUAUUCAUCCUAUGUGGGUAAUUGAGGAGUAUGCUAAGAUUUUGCGUAGUUGGGUUUGGUUUAAUCCACCUCAACUGCCUGCCAUGAUGGAUAAGAUUGAAAGAGUGAGGAGAAGGCUUACGUUUAAUGAGGGAGAAAUUUGGUAUAUGAUUGAGAUGGGGGCUAGUUUUUGUCAUGUGAGAAGGAGCAGGCCGGAUGUCAGAGGGGUGCCUUGGGUAACCUCUGGGACUCAGAAGUGAAAGGGGGCUAUUCCUAGUUUUAUUGCUAUAGCCAUUAUGAUUAUUAAUGAUGAGUAUUGAUUGGUGGUAUUGGUUAUGGUUCAUUGUCCGGAGAGUAUAUUGUUGAAGAGGAUAGCUAUUAGAAGGAUUAUGGAUGCGGUUGCUUGCGUGAGGAAAUACUUGAUGGCAGCUUCUGUGGAACGAGGGUUUAUUUUUUUGGUUAGAACUGGAAUAAAAGCUAGCAUGUUUAUUUCUAGGCCUACUCAGGUAAAAAAUCAGUGCGAGCUUAGCGCUGUGAUGAGUGUGCCUGCAAAGAUGGUAGAGUAGAUGACGGGUUGGGCCAGGGGAUUAAUUAGUACGGGAAGGAUAUAACCAACAUUUUCGGGGUAUGGGCCCGAUAGCUUAUUUAGCUGACCUUACUUUAGGAUGGGGUGUGAUAGGUGGCACGGAGAAUUUUGGAUUCUCAGGGAUGGGUUCGAUUCUCAUAGUCCUAGAAAUAAGGGGAUUUAAACUCCUAUUAUUUACUCUAUCAAAGUAACUCUUUUAUCAGACAUAUUUCUUAGGUUUGAGGGGGAAUGCUGGAGAUUGUAAUGGGUAUGGAGACAUAUCAUAUAAGUAAUGCUAGGGUGAGUGGUAGGAAGUUUUUUCAUAGGAGGUGUAUGAGUUGGUCGUAGCGGAAUCGGGGGUAUGCUGUUCGAAUUCAUAAGAACAGGGAGGUCAGAAGUAGGGUCUUGGUGACAAAAUAUGUUGUGUAGAGUUCAGGGGAGAGUGCGUUAUAUGUUGUUCCUAGGAAGAUUGUAGUGGUGAGGGUGUUUAUUAUAAUAAUGUUUGUGUAUUCGGCUAUGAAGAAUAGGGCGAAGGGGCCUGCGGCGUAUUCGAUGUUGAAGCCUGAGACUAGUUCGGACUCCCUUU
Molecule: long non-coding RNA, 4682 nt
Filed under: Homo sapiens (human)
Lineage: Eukaryota; Metazoa; Chordata; Mammalia; Primates; Hominidae
Description: HSALNT0289556
Rfam family: tRNA (bases 2702-2767)
Source: RNAcentral